CCUUCGGGGAACGAUAACGGCGUCGAGCGGCGGACGGGUGAGUAAUGCCUAGGAAAUUGCCCUGAUGUGGGGGAUAACCAUUGGAAACGAUGGCUAAUACCGCAUGAUGCCUACGGGCCAAAGAGGGGGACCUUCGGGCCUCUCGCGUCAGGAUAUGCCUAGGUGGGAUUAGCUAGUUGGUGAGGUAAGGGCUCACCAAGGCGACGAUCCCUAGCUGGUCUGAGAGGAUGAUCAGCCACACUGGAACUGAGACACGGUCCAGACUCCUACGGGAGGCAGCAGUGGGGAAUAUUGCACAAUGGGCGCAAGCCUGAUGCAGCCAUGCCGCGUGUGUGAAGAAGGCCUUCGGGUUGUAAAGCACUUUCAGUCGUGAGGAAGGUGGUGUAGUUAAUAGCUGCAUUAUUUGACGUUAGCGACAGAAGAAGCACCGGCUAACUCCGUGCCAGCAGCCGCGGUAAUACGGAGGGUGCGAGCGUUAAUCGGAAUUACUGGGCGUAAAGCGCAUGCAGGUGGUUUGUUAAGUCAGAUGUGAAAGCCCGGGGCUCAACCUCGGAAUUGCAUUUGAAACUGGCAGACUAGAGUACUGUAGAGGGGGGUAGAA
This 601-nucleotide ribosomal RNA is filed under the name Vibrio neocaledonicus. Its description in RNAcentral is "bacterial SSU rRNA". It matches the Rfam family "Bacterial small subunit ribosomal RNA", at positions 77 to 666 of the family's 1533-position model. The record is from RNAcentral. Lineage: Bacteria; Pseudomonadati; Pseudomonadota; Gammaproteobacteria; Vibrionales; Vibrionaceae.